Molecule: ribosomal RNA, 679 nt
Filed under: Unicapsula sp. CMW-2003
Lineage: Eukaryota; Metazoa; Cnidaria; Myxozoa; Multivalvulida; Trilosporidae
Description: eukaryotic LSU rRNA
Rfam family: Eukaryotic large subunit ribosomal RNA
Source: RNAcentral
ACUGUGAUUCCCUUAGUAACGGCGAGUGAAGCGGGAAAAGCCCAUCGUUGAAUCUCCCUGGACCUAGUUCGGGGCGAGUUGUAACGGUAUGGAUUGGCAUUCUAGCGCCAACUGCUAACCAAAGUCCUUCGGAUUGAGGCGCCAGAGAGGGUGACAGCCCCGUAGAUGGCUAGCAGGAAGCGUGCAUGUUGUCAACUCCUAGAGUCGGGUUGUUUGGGAUUGCAACCUAAAGCAGGUGGUAAACUCCAUCUAAGGCUAAAUAUAGACACGAAACCGAUAGCGAACAAGUACCGUGAGGGAAAGUUGAAAAGAACCCUGAAAAGAGAGUUAAAAGUACGUGAAACCGCUAACGGGGAAGCGGAAGGCAGUGUCGAGACCGCGUCUAGUGGAUGUUUGUCGCGUUUCCUUGGAAAUUGUAGCAAAUGUCAGCUGGGCAUGGUGCGUCAGGCCUGCUGGUGAACAAGUGGAAGCAAGACAUGGCCCUCGCAACCUYCUAGGAGGAUGCGGGUGCGGUCUAGUGAAAGCUUGUAUGCUGGCUUGUGAGUGAAAAGCGUUGUUAGCUCAAAUUUUGGGCUGGUUGAUGCAGUCAGGCGCUGCGCCUUGUCUAAAGUUUGGACAAGACGUAGUUGUUUGGCUGGUYGACAAGCAGUGCUAGAUCCUGACGAGAUACCUAACUUUC